RNAcentral lists this ribosomal RNA (439 nucleotides) under uncultured bacterium. Its description in RNAcentral is "partial 16S ribosomal RNA". It matches the Rfam family "Bacterial small subunit ribosomal RNA", at positions 339 to 795 of the family's 1533-position model. The record is from RNAcentral.
CUACGGGUUGCUGCAGUGGGGAAUCUUAGACAAUGGGCGCAAGCCUGAUCUAGCCAUGCCGCGUGAGUGACGAAGGCCUUAGGGUCGUAAAGCUCUUUCGCUAGGGAAGAUAAUGACUGUACCUAGUAAAGAAACCCCGGCUAACUCCGUGCCAGCAGCCGCGGUAAUACGGAGGGGGUUAGCGUUGUUCGGAAUUACUGGGCGUAAAGCGCGCGUAGGCGGAUCAGAAAGUUGGGGGUGAAAUCCCAGGGCUCAACCCUGGAACUGCCUCCAAAACUCCUGGUCUUGAGUUCGAGAGAGGUGAGUGGAAUUCCGAGUGUAGAGGUGAAAUUCGUAGAUAUUCGGAGGAACACCAGUGGCGAAGGCGGCUCACUGGCUCGAUACUGACGCUGAGGUGCGAAAGCGUGGGGAGCAAACAGGAUUAGAUACCCGAGUAGUC